UUAACAAAAACAUGUCCUUUUGAUUUUAAUUUAAGGUCUGGUCUGCCCAAUGAUAAUUUUAAUGGCCGCGAUAUUUUGAUCGUGCGAAGGUAGCAUAAUCAUUAGUUUUUUAAUUGGAAGCUGGUAUGAAGGAUUGGACAAGAACCUAACUGUCUCUGUUUUAACUGUUGAAUUUUAUUUUUGAGUUAAAAAGCUUAAAUUUUAUUGUAAGACGAGAAGACCCUAUAGAGUUUAAUAUUAUAAGAUUUUAAUUUAAUUGUGGAGUUUAAAAUUUUUAAAAUUUGUAAUUAUUUGGUUGGGGUGACAGAAAAAUUGAAUUAACUUUUUCUUUUUAGAAUAUUUAUUUAUAGGUUUUUGACUUAAAAAUUUAGUUAAAAGAUUAAAUUACCUUAGGGAUAACAGCGUCAUUUUUCUAAAGAGUUCUUAUCGAAAGAAAAGAUUGCGACCUCGAUGUUGGAUUAAAGUUAAAAUUUGGUGUAGAAGCUAGGUCUUUUAGUCUGUUCGACUAUUAAAACUUUACAUGAUCUGAGUU
Molecule: ribosomal RNA, 532 nt
Filed under: Agrilus delphinensis
Lineage: Eukaryota; Metazoa; Arthropoda; Insecta; Coleoptera; Buprestidae
Description: partial 16S ribosomal RNA
Rfam family: Bacterial large subunit ribosomal RNA
Source: RNAcentral